GUGGGGAAUCUUCCGCAAUGGACGAAAGUCUGACGGAGCGACGCCGCGUGAGUGAAGAAGGCCUUCGGGUCGUAAAGCUCUGUCAUCAGGGACGAACGGCCGGUGGAGUGGAAAGCCACCGGAUUGACGGUACCUGAGAAGGAAGCCACGGCUAACUACGUGCCAGCAGCCGCGGUAAUACGUAGGUGGCAAGCGUUGUCCGGAAUUAUUGGGCGUAAAGCGCGCGCAGGUGGGAUCUUAAGUCCAUUUUUAAAGUUCGGAGCUCAACUCCGUGAUGGGAUGGAAACUGGGAUUCUUGAGUACCGGAGAGGAAAGCGGAAUUCCCCGUGUAGCGGUGAAAUGCGUAGAGAUUUGGAAGAACACCAGUGGCGAAGGCGACUUUCUGGACGAUGUCUGACGCUGAGGCGCGAAAGCUAGGGGAGCGAACGGGAUUAGAUACCCUGGUAGUCC
RNAcentral lists this ribosomal RNA (450 nucleotides) under uncultured bacterium. Its description in RNAcentral is "partial 16S ribosomal RNA". It matches the Rfam family "Bacterial small subunit ribosomal RNA", at positions 354 to 796 of the family's 1533-position model. The record is from RNAcentral.